UAAGAGAAAUUCUAACUACAGUUUGUAACAACAACCUAAGUUUAUAUGGAUUCUUGAAGGCAACAGUAAGAUGGAAGUGAAGGAGGAGAAGAUUAAAUGGGUGACUUUUUGUAGAUAUUUACCAAAAGAGAACACUUGGGGAAAAAAAGGCAAGCAAAUAAUGGAAGUGACCUUUUGAAUAACUGAUGCACAAUUCAGAUUGGCAAGGCUGGCUAGUGAAGGAAAAAUUAAAUUGUGCAACACGUUUCCUUUACUGAAGGAGAGCAAAGAUAGAAGGAAGAAAACAAGACUAGCAGAUGAGGAGAGAAGGCAGCAUCAGCAGAAAAGAGGAAAAAAUUGAAAUGAUAAUGUCUGGGGCUCAGGGAACAGUGAACAUGAGAAAUGGACUGUGACAGAGAUCAGAUGACACAAUGGUCUGCAAACAGAAGAAAGAAAAUGUGAGGAAUCUAAGGAAGAUACAAUUAGCAUCAGAAAGAGGACAGAAACCUCAGCACAUUUGGUUUUAGGAGCAACACAGGAUUGGUGAAAAGCAACAAAAUCCACCUUGGCUGCUGCGAGACAACAACGGACAUUGUAGAGUACCAACUAUAGCCCAGCACAACAAGGAAGAGACACGAAAACCUCAAGCUUCGCUACCGAGCUCCAUUUAUGAGGUCGACCAUGACCAUCCUGGAGAACUGCAACCGGAUUUGGCUUCGUGUCUCCCCUUCCCCAUCCCGGUACGUGCUGCGAUGCUGAACUGUUCUGUGAAACAGCUGCCUCAGCCCACAGCCACCGAGGCGCUCCAGCUGCAAAGGGCUGCAGGAGGAAAAAUUAAACUAAUCCACGUUUGAGAGAUCUGGACGGGCAGACUCAGUCUCAAUUUUUGAGGAGAGUAAGAUGACGGUAGGUGUAUGGGUUGCUUUUACACCCCUGAGCUUUGAAUUGAAUAUUUUACUGAGCAGAGAAAGGGUCUCUCUUUAGGAACAAUUUGUGCUCCUUGAUGAGGUGACUGUCCAGUCAUUUGUCUUCAACGGUUACUCUCAUGGGAAAACAAUGAAUUUUAUUCUAAUUUUACUCAUGGAUAUCUUGUGGAAUUUCCAUAUUCUGAAGUCUUAUCUUCCUAAAGCAAAAGUAGCAAAAUUCCAGAGUGUUUGCUUAGCUCCCCCCAAAAAGUUAUAGCAGUAAUUACAGAAAUAAGCAAUGACUAUCCCAUGAGAAGCUAAAAGUGCUGUAUCUAUCUGUGCUUGUGUGAUCACCUUUGGGUCUUCCAGCUAGCUCCUCACUUCUGAGGAGGAGUAGUUUCCCUGGAGAAUACCUGAGCCAAAGUAGCACCUUCUAAAAAUCAACUUAAAGCCAUUAAAGUUUCCCCUUUCAAAUAGGCAGACUCACAUAUUACAUGCCUGUGAGUUUUCAUUUUGAGGUCAUGAGCAAUGUUAGGUUAAUGAAGAAAUCAUUUCCCUUUCUAUGGGGCUUCCCUUUGGCCCCCGGUGAUUCCUGCAUUGCUGGUGGUGCUGCCUCUAUCAAUCAGCACCCAUAAGAAGUGAGUGGUGGUGUAGGUCUAUGGCCAAGGACUCAGUGGCACAUCUGAAACAGCAGUUAACUACUUUAAAAUGUUUUAAAUCAGAGAGGAGCAUGGCAACGAGAAGGAAGAAAAAAUACCACCCAUACAUAGCAUAAAUGAACCAGAAAGAUGCUCUGUUGGGAUAAAGCUGGUUGGGAAAGGCCUUGAUUUACCAGAGAUAAGGAAAAAAACCUGACCAACAGAAUGGAAAAUGCAGGGAUGCAUUUACCAGGUGAAGCUCAGGGAUGAUUCUGGACCAGCUGGUUGUAGUGCUGUCUUUACAGAAGAAUGGGAUUGCCUUCUAUUGCUUAAGGGAAUAAAUGCUCAGGAGUAAAGAUCA
This is a long non-coding RNA of Calidris pygmaea (Spoon-billed sandpiper), 1883 nucleotides long. NCBI's taxonomy places the organism in Eukaryota, Metazoa, Chordata, Aves, Charadriiformes, Scolopacidae. The record is from Ensembl.